Molecule: long non-coding RNA, 674 nt
Filed under: Podarcis muralis (Common wall lizard)
Lineage: Eukaryota; Metazoa; Chordata; Lepidosauria; Squamata; Lacertidae
Description: lncRNA (ENSPMRG00000007817.1)
Source: RNAcentral
UUCUUUGCUUGUAAGUCACUUUAGACGGACCUUUGCCCAGAAAAGCAGCCUAAAAGCAUUUUAAAUAAACUACUGGCAAGUUACCUGCUCUGGAUAGGGUUGCACUUCUUCUGAAGUAGCACUGGCUAUCAGUGGCUGGGCAUGACAGGCACUGGGUAAGGAUCCCCAAGAUUGGAAGGGAUCCUCACCAGCCCAGCCCAGCCCAGGACCAUCGGCUGGGUGAGGACUGCAGGGCCUGCUCCCUUCCAGGGCCUUUUCCAACUGGCCCAGGGGGCGUGGCCCAGGCCCUCUCUCCGGCUAUAAAGGGACUCCUGCUGCGGGGAGGCCUCGGACCAUCGGCUGGGUGAGGACUGCAGGGCCUGCUCCCUUCCAGGGCCUUUUCCAACUGGCCCAGGGGGCGUGGCCCAGGCCCUCUCUCCCGGCUAUAAAGGGACUCCUGCUGCGGGGAGGCCUUGGACCAUCGGCUGGCGCUGCAGGAGCAUCAGUCAGUGUACGCCCAGUGAAAUCUGUACACCAGGAGCUGAUAAAUCGGAAGAUAGAGAGGAAAGUUUACGAAUUCUGCAAGCUCUCCUUUUUCUCCCAAUGAUCCCCUAAGCUGUUGAAAAUUUAUUUAAAAGUAAAAAUGAAAGAAACAAAGAAAGAAGAACCUUUACUGCACCUGGGAAAGCUGCAGA